This 70-nucleotide transfer RNA is filed under the name Aedes aegypti (yellow fever mosquito). It matches the Rfam family "tRNA". Rfam says of the family: Transfer RNA (tRNA) molecules are approximately 80 nucleotides in length. Their secondary structure includes four short double-helical elements and three loops (D, anti-codon, and T loops). Further hydrogen bonds mediate the characteristic L-shaped molecular structure. tRNAs have two regions of fundamental functional importance: the anti-codon, which is responsible for specific mRNA codon recognition, and the 3' end, to which the tRNAs corresponding amino acid is attached (by aminoacyl-tRNA synthetases). tRNAs cope with the degeneracy of the genetic code in two manners: having more than one tRNA (with a specific anti-codon) for a particular amino acid; and 'wobble' base-pairing, i.e. permitting non-standard base-pairing at the 3rd anti-codon position. The record is from Rfam by way of RNAcentral. Lineage: Eukaryota; Metazoa; Arthropoda; Insecta; Diptera; Culicidae.
GGCCCUGUAGUUUAGUUGGCAGCACUCGUCUAGCAUACAAGAGUCAUGGGUUCGAAUCCCAUCUGAGCAC